AUGCGUUAAGUAAAUAUAUUUCGUAUAAUUUUGGAGAUAUGGUCCAAAAGUUUCUACUGGCAACCGUUAAAUUGCCUGUCUACGAGUGAAAGUGUACCUAAG
RNAcentral lists this non-coding RNA (102 nucleotides) under Pelosinus sp. UFO1. RNAcentral's name for it is "Purine riboswitch aptamer". It matches the Rfam family "Purine riboswitch aptamer". From Rfam's summary of the family: Riboswitches are metabolite binding domains within certain messenger RNAs that serve as precision sensors for their corresponding targets. Allosteric rearrangement of mRNA structure is mediated by ligand binding, and this results in modulation of gene expression. RNAcentral also lists the same sequence under 1 other name. The record is from Rfam by way of RNAcentral. Lineage: Bacteria; Bacillati; Bacillota; Negativicutes; Selenomonadales; Sporomusaceae.